GAAUGACCUAAAGGUGGGAGAUGAGGACAUCUGGGAAAGAAAAAGGUACCAAGCAGAAGAUGCAGGAGCCAUAGUUCAAGGAAGGCUGGCUAAAAACAGCUGAGCAAUUAAGUUCUGGAGCUGGACUAGACAUCAUCAUGCCCACCACCCCACAGCUGACCUGGAAAACGCCUUCAGGAGCAAAGCAUCUCACAGCUAUCCUCAGCUCACAGACGUUCCCCUGAAUUGGUCUCAGAAUGUGGCUUUGGUGACUUUUCUGCCACCUUGACAUCCUCCCCACAUCAACUCUGCUCUUCUCAAAAUGUGGCUUUUGGAGAUGGCUGGGGUGCAGUGGACCUGUUAGCUAAAGGCGGCCUCCCCGGCCUCAUCAAACCGUGAUUCUCCCAGGCCGAAUUCUCCCAGGCCAGCAUCCGGUUCUUUUCUGCACUUGACUAUUUGUGGCUGCAGAGCACCCGAGGGUGCCGAGUACCCCUGGAGCAGGAACGUUGACGGCACACAACUGAGGGUCUAGUCUUCUGAAGCCCAGACACAGUGAGGAAGCCUCCUGGGCUUUCAAAGACAAUCUGAGAAGACCCCUCUCCCUUCUGCCGAGAGAGAAAAUGUUGUACUUGGAAGAGGCUCCCAGCCCCUGACUACAGCUUUGACUGAGCUAACAUAUGGCCUGGGGCUAUUUCCAAGGCUUUAUUACUCACCAACAAGAAUUAUUUGUUCAACUGAAAUCCACCUAGAGCCUUGUUUUGCUGGAGCCCCAUAGCUUACUGUUCAUCCCAACCCCCCCCUUCCAACCCUCCCUAUCAUGAUCCUCACUCCUAACCUAAAACAUGGAUUCCCACUUUGCUGGGACUAUCCAAGCCAUCCAUCCUCAACUCCCCCGAAAUCAACAACUGCAUCUCCAUUGAGUCCCGUACCCUCCUGUCAUCAGGGAGUAUCCUGGACCCCAUGUCUUGUCCUUCUCAGCAGCCUUAAAUAAUGUCAUCAGUUACUACCUCUCUCCUGCACCGUUAACCUCCCCACCCUCUUAGAUCCGUCGUAUUGCCAUUUGAGCAUGAUCUAAUCUUUCCAUUAAUGAAAGUAAGAAUAUUUGUAAUCUCUACAUUUCGAAUUCCCUUCUAGCUUUCUUUUCACAGCCACACAUUUCCCCCACCCCUAAAAUUGUUUGUGCUUGGCUUCUCCGAUUCCUGACUUCCCAUUCAUGCCUCAGUCCAGUCCAAUAUGACUUUUGCCUCCACUUCACCAAAACAGUUCUCAACGUCACCAAUGGCCUCCAUUUCACUAAAUCCACUGGACAGUUUUCAGCAUUCCUGUCAAGUGACCUCUUAGUGGUUUUCAACAACCCUGUUAACCUCUCUCUCCCUUCUUCUUGAAACACUCUUGUCUGGGUUUCUCAAUCACUGCAGACAAUUCUCCUAGUUUUCUUCCUUUCUGGUCAACUUCUCAACCCCAUUCCAGCCUCCUAAUCUUCUACAGCCUUUAACUACUGGCUUUCCAGGGCUCUCCCCAUGCCCAUUUCCUCUUCUUUCUGCAUUCUCUCCCUAGCUGAUUCCACAUCCCGUAUUGUUACAGACAGGAAACAGGGAAACAUUGGGUAAAAGGGCGGUUCCCCAGCAAAGGCCCCACCCUCAAGCCUGGAGGCCUGCAGCCCUACAUGAGGACAGGCAUUCCUGUUUUCACACCCAAAAAGUUGCCUUUUGGCCAGCCGUGCCUUCUAUCCUGUACCAAUAUAAACCCCGAACCCCAGGGUGCAGAGGCAGACGAGAUGAGGAGACAAGCAGACAGAUGGAAGAACAUGGCAGAGAAAGAGAGAAAAGGAGGAACAUCUGAAUGCCAAGAGGAGUUCGGCUGGGGGCAGUUGGAGAGGGGUUCAGCUGCUGGACAGCCAGGCUCCAGAGGAAGAUCAUCUUCCCACUCCAUCUCCCCUUCCAGCUCCCCAUCCAUCCUGCUGAGAGCCACCUCCAACACCCAAUAAAACCCCGA
Molecule: long non-coding RNA, 1974 nt
Filed under: Homo sapiens (human)
Lineage: Eukaryota; Metazoa; Chordata; Mammalia; Primates; Hominidae
Description: HSALNT0133847
Source: RNAcentral